GUGGGGCAGGAACGAGAGAUGAGGGGGUCGGGAAGGAGAGAAAUAUAGAGCAAGAAAGAGAGGUCAUGAGCCCAUGGGCCCCUGAGUUCUUCAAAAAUUAAAUUUUGAAUUAAAGUUAUAAACUUGGAUUUUGUCACAAGGAUUUAUACAGGAUACUAACCUCCACAUCAAAACCUUCAAUCCAAAUCGAAAUUCCAUACGUAAAACCUUGAUUUUGGACAAAAUUAACUGAAUGGAUUAUUACUAAAAAAGACUAUCAAGAAAAAAACUUCCAACAAACCAAAAUCUGCAGAAGAAACACAGUGGAACCUGGAAAUACCAUCCAACACAAAACUGAGUUUCCCCCGGAGCACUUUAGGAAGAAACUCGACGUCAGGAAAACCAACGCUCCCGGGAGAGAUGGUGACAUUUACAAGGUUGAUUGGAGGUUUUGUCACGCCUGCUUUGACAGACUGGCCAGAGCUCAGGUUCUCAUCCACAUCACAAUGGAUGUUUUCAUUAGCCAAACAUCUUGGGAAGAAUCUUCGGGCGAAUCCAGGCCUGACACUGGUCUGCCGCCGACAGAGAUGAACUGGCGCCGACAGCAUCAAAGCUGGGACCGAGAGACUGAAAAACAGCUUCUAUCUCAAGGCCAUCAGACUGUUAAACAGCCACCACUAACAUUGAGUGGCUACUGCCAACACACUGUCAAUGACACUGACUCUACUCCAGCCACUUUAAUCAUGGGAAUUGAUGGGAAAUGAUGUAAAUAUAUCACUAGCCACUUUAAACAAUGCUACCUUAUAUAAUGUUACUUACCCUACAUUGUUCAUCUCAUAUGCAUACGUUGAUACUGUACUCUAUAUCAUCGACUGCAUCCUGAUGUAAUACAUGUAUCACUAGCCACUUUAACUAUGCCACUUGGUUUACAUACUUAUCUCAUAUGUAUAUACUGUACUCGAUAUCAUCUACUGUAUCUUGCCUAUGCUGCUCUGUACCAUCACUCAUUCAUAUAUCCUUAUGUACAUAUUCUUUAUCCCCUUACACUGUGUAUAAGACAGUAGUUUUUUUUGGAAUUGUUAGUUAGAUUACUUGCUCGUUAUUACUGCAUUGUCGGAACUAGAA
This is a long non-coding RNA of Oncorhynchus tshawytscha (Chinook salmon), 1104 nucleotides long. NCBI's taxonomy places the organism in Eukaryota, Metazoa, Chordata, Actinopteri, Salmoniformes, Salmonidae. The record is from Ensembl.